AGAGUUUGAUCCUGGCUCAGAGCGAACGCUGGCGGCAGGCUUAACACAUGCAAGUCGAGCGGGCGUCUUCGGGCGUCAGCGGCGGACGGGUGAGUAACGCGUGGGAACGUGCCUUUUGGUUCGGGACAACUCCGGGAAACUGGAGCUAAUACCGGAUACGCCCUUGGAUGAGAGUCCUUGGGGAAAGAUUUAUCGCCGGGAGAUCGGCCCGCGUCUGAUUAGCUUGUUGGUGGGGUAACGGCUCACCAAGGCUACGAUCGGUAGCCGGUCUGAGAGGAUGAUCGGCCACACUGGGACUGAGACACGGCCCAGACUCCUACGGGAGGCAGCAGUGGGGAAUCUUGGACAAUGGGCGAAAGCCUGAUCCAGCGACGCCGCGUGGGUGAUGAAGGCCUUCGGGUUGUAAAGCCCUUUUCCCAGGGACGAUGAUGACGGUACCUGGGGAAUAAGCACCGGCUAACUCCGUGCCAGCAGCCGCGGUAAUAC
RNAcentral lists this ribosomal RNA (486 nucleotides) under uncultured bacterium. RNAcentral's name for it is "bacterial SSU rRNA". It matches the Rfam family "Bacterial small subunit ribosomal RNA", at positions 8 to 526 of the family's 1533-position model. The record is from RNAcentral.